This 443-nucleotide ribosomal RNA is filed under the name uncultured bacterium. RNAcentral describes it as "partial 16S ribosomal RNA". It matches the Rfam family "Bacterial small subunit ribosomal RNA", at positions 338 to 795 of the family's 1533-position model. The record is from RNAcentral.
CCUACGGGAGGCAGCAGUGGGGAAUAUUGGACAAUGGGGGGAACCCUGAUCCAGCGACGCCGCGUGAGUGAAGAAGUAUUUCGGUAUGUAAAGCUCUAUCAGCAGGGAAGUAAGAAAUGCCGGUACCUGACUAAGAAGCCCCGACUAACUACGUGCCAGCAGCCGCGGUAAUACGUAGGGGGCAAGCGUUAUCCGGAUUUACUGGGUGUAAAGGGAGCGUAGACGGCGAUGUAAGUCUGAAGUGAAAGACGGGGGCCCAACCCCAGGACUGCUUUGGAAACUGUAUGGCUGGAGUGCAGGAGAGGUAAGUGGAAUGCCUAGUGUAGCGGUGAAAUGCGUAGAGAUUAGGAGGAACACCAGUGGCGAAGGCGGCUUACUGGACUGUAACUGACGUUGAGGCUCGAAAGCGUGGGGAGCAAACAGGAUUAGAUACCCUUGUAGUC